CACAGGAUUGCCUCAGUAACGGCGAGUGAAGCGGCAACAGCUCAAUUUGAAAUCUGGCUCUUUCAGGGUCCGAGUUGUAAUUUGUAGAAGAUGCUUCGGGUGUGGCUCCGGUCUAAGUUCCUUGGAACAGGACGUCAUAGAGGGUGAGAAUCCCGUAUGUGACUGGYUGCCUCUGCUCAUGUGAAGCUCUUUCGACGAGUCGAGUUGUUUGGGAAUGCAGCUCAAAAUGGGUGGUAAAUUUCAUCUAAAGCUAAAUACUGGCCAGAGACCGAUAGCGCACAAGUAGAGUGAUCGAAAGAUGAAAAGCACUUUGSAAAGAGAGUUAAACAGUACGUGAAAUUGUUGAAAGGGAAGCGCUUGCAACCAGACUUGCAUAUAGCUGAUCAUCCGGUGUUCUCSCCGGKGCACUCWGCCGCGYUCAGGCCAGCAUCGGUUUCAGUGGUUGGAUAAAGGCCUUGGGAAUGGAGCUUCUUUCGGGGAGUGKUAUAGCCCUCGGUGCAAUGCAGCCUACUGGRACCGAGRACCGCGCUUCGGCUAGGAUGCUGGCGUAAUGGUUGUAAGCGACCCGUCUUGAAACACGGACCAAGGAGUCUAACAUCUAUGCGAGUGUUUGGGUGUCAAACCCAUACGCGUAAUGAAAGUGAACGGAGGUGAGAACUCUUAAGAGUGCAUCAUCGACCGAUCCUGAUGUCUUCGGAUGGAUUUGAGUAAGAGCAUAGCUGUUGGGACCCGAAAGAUGGUGAACUAUGCCUGAAUAGGGUGAAGCCAGAGGAAACUCUGGUGGAGGCUCGCAGCGGUUCUGACGUGCAAAUCGAUCGUCAAAUUUGGGUAUAGGGGCGAAAGACUAAUCGAACCAUCUAAACACCCGCUUUCUGGAU
RNAcentral lists this ribosomal RNA (878 nucleotides) under Micraspis strobilina. RNAcentral's name for it is "partial large subunit ribosomal RNA". It matches the Rfam family "Eukaryotic large subunit ribosomal RNA", at positions 68 to 963 of the family's 3401-position model. Lineage: Eukaryota; Fungi; Ascomycota; Leotiomycetes; Micraspidales; Micraspidaceae. The record is from RNAcentral.